CGGCUGCCGAGCCUCAGCAGCAACCGACGGCUGAGCCUCAGCAGCAACCGACGGCUGAGCCUCAGCAGCAACCGACGGCUGAGCCUCAGCAGCAGAAGCAACAGGCCACUAUACCCCAGCAAGUUAGGUAUCCAGCUCAAAUGCCCCAGAAGCAUCUGGCCUCCAUGCCUCUGCCGCAGAAGCAACCGACCGCCGUGCCCCAGCAAGGGUGGCAUCCAGCUCAAAUGCUGCAGACACAACUGACCGCCAUGCCCCUGCAAGCAUGGUAUCCAGCUCAAAAGCCCCAGCUGCAGAAGCAAUUAGCCGCUGAACCUCAGCAGCAAAUUGAACUGACCGCAAUGCCCCAGCCACCUCAGCAAGUGUGGCAUCCAGAUCAAUUUCCCCAGCAGCAAAAGCAACCAGCUACUGAACCUCAGCAGCAGAAGGAACCGGCCGCCGUAACUCAGCAAGUGUUGCAUCCAGCUCAAAUGCUGCUGAAGCAACUGACUGCCAUGCACCAGUAUGUGUGGUAUCCAGCUCAAAAGCCCCAGAAUCAACCAGUCCCUAUGCGUCAACCGCAGAAGGAACUGACCGCCAUUCCACCACAACUGUGGCAAUCGGCUCAAAUGCCCCAGCAGCAUAAGCAACCGGCUGCCACGCUUCAGCAAGUGUGGCAAGCGGCCCCCAUGCCCCAGCAGCCUCAUGAUGUGUGGUAUCCAGCUAAAAUGGUCCAGAAGCAACAAGCCUCUGCAACUCGGCGGCAGAAGGAAAUGACCGCCAUGCCUCAGCAAGAGUGGCAUCCAGCUCAAAUGCCCCAGAAGCAAUCACCCACUGAACCUCGGCAGCAGAAGCAAUCGACCACCUUGGCCCAGGAAGUGUGGACUCCAGCUAAAUUUCCCCAGAAGCAACCAGCCCCAAUGCCUUUACCGCAGAAGGAACUGACCGCCAUACCCCAGCAACCUCAGCAAGUGUGGUAUUCAGCUCAAAUGCCUCAGCAGCAACCGACUGCUGAGCCUCAGCAGCAACCGACUGCUGAGCCUCAGCAGCAACCGACUGCUGAGCCUCAGCAGCAGAAGCAACAGGCCACUAUACCCCAGCAAGUUAGGUAUCCAGCUCAAAUGCCCCAGAAGCAUCUGGCCUCCAUGCCUCUGCCGCAGAAGCAACCGACCGCCGUGCCCCAGCAAGGGUGGCAUCCAGCUCAAAUGCUGCAGACACAACUGACCUCCAUGCCCGAGCUAACGUGGUAUCGAGCUCAAAUGCUCCAGCAGCAGAAACAACUGGCCACCAUGCUGCAGAAUCAACCAGCCCCAAUGCAUCUGCCGCAGAAGCAACCGGCCACCAUGCCGCCGCAAGUGUUGCAUCCAGCUCAAAUGCUGCAGAAGCAACAUACUGCCAUGCCCCAGCAAGCAUGGUAUCCAGCUCAAAAGCCCCAGCUGCAGAAGCAAUCGGCCGCUGAACCUCAGCAGCAAAUUGAACUGACCGCAAUGCCCCAGCCACCUCAGCAAGUGUGGCAUCCAGAUCAAUUUCCCCCGGAGCAGAAGCAACCAGCCCCUAUGCAUCUACCGCAGAAGGAACUGACCGCCAUACCCCAACUGUGGCAAACAACUCAAAUUCCCCAGCAGCAUAAGCAACCGGCUGCCAUGCUUCAGCAAGUGUGGCAUCUGGCGCAGAAGCAACCGGCCCCUAUGCCCCAGCAGCCUCACGACGUGUGGUAUCCAGCUAAAAUGGUCCAGAAGCAACAAGUCGCUGCACUGACCGCCAUGCCGCAGGCACAUCAGAAAGUGUGGCAUCCAGUUCAAAUGCCUCAGCAGCAGAAGCAACCAGCUACUGAACCUCAGCAGCAAAUUGAACUGACCGCCAUGCUUCAGACACAUCAGCAAGUGUGGCAUCCAGCUCAAUUUCCCCAGCAGCAGAAGCAACCGGCCUCCAUGCCUCUUCCGCAGGAGAAACCGACCGCCAUACCCAAGCAAGUGUGGUAUCCAGCUCAAAUGUCCCAGCAGCAACUGGCCUCCAUGCCUCUACCGCAGAAGCAACUGACCCCCGUGCCUCAGCAAUUAUGGCAUGUAGCUCAAAUGCCCCAGAAGCAACUUGCCCCAAUGUCUCAGCAGAAGCACUACGAAAGCACUGAAGAUGGUGUCUCUGGUAGCUCUCAGGCCAGCAUUGUUGAACAGUUGGGUGUCAUCCCAAUCUAUUCCUACAGUUCCAAAUCGCACUACGAGAAGGGCAGAACUGUCUUCUCCCAAACCCGCUACACUCCUAGGGAGGCUAUGCCUGUUGACAGUGGAAAUGCUCCCAAGGACAGUUAUGUUGGCAUUGGUGCACCAAGCAUGCAUCCACCACUAGUGAAGGAUUCUGCAAGGAAGUUGCUGGUGCUCAAGCGUGAUGGAAUCAAUAAACAAUUUUAUUUUCAAAAAUGUUUUGUCUCUUUGAAAUAAUGAUUCUUGUGUCCAUUGCUUGCUAAUUGAGAACAGGUGGUGUGC
Molecule: long non-coding RNA, 2459 nt
Filed under: Salmo salar (Atlantic salmon)
Lineage: Eukaryota; Metazoa; Chordata; Actinopteri; Salmoniformes; Salmonidae
Description: lncRNA (ENSSSAG00000106115.1)
Source: RNAcentral